AAAAAUGAAAUAAUUUUUGAAAUAAAGUUGCAUUCUUAGUGAUGCUUCAUCUUUGCAUGUAGAAUUAAAAAAAAAACAAGUUUUGACAGUUAGUAUAAUGCCCACUUUUUAAACAUAGACAAAAGAUGUAUGCAAGAAUCUAUUUCCCAAAGGCUUUUGUUUGGGGCUGUUUGGGGACAUUUUUACUCAUCUUGAAUGUGUAGUGGGU
Molecule: long non-coding RNA, 208 nt
Filed under: Pongo abelii (Sumatran orangutan)
Lineage: Eukaryota; Metazoa; Chordata; Mammalia; Primates; Hominidae
Description: lincRNA
Source: RNAcentral